Molecule: small nucleolar RNA, 131 nt
Organism: Scleropages formosus (Asian bonytongue)
Lineage: Eukaryota; Metazoa; Chordata; Actinopteri; Osteoglossiformes; Osteoglossidae
Source: Ensembl
UGGCACUGUUCGUAACCUGUUUUCAGUCCUUAGUCUGACUCUGGGUUCCAUUCCAGUGCAAUAGAAAAUUCCAGUGAGGCAGGGGAGUCUGCAUUUUGUGCAUUCUCCCUGUUCACUCUCUGGAUACACCA